UUCAUGAACAUCAAAACCAGACCCACAUUCACGCCUGAAUUUCGCCUCGAAUGUGCGCAGCUUGUGCUCAACAAAGGCUAUUCCGUUCGAGAGGCCGCUCAGGCAAUGAACGUAGGU
RNAcentral lists this small RNA (117 nucleotides) under Chitinibacter tainanensis. RNAcentral's name for it is "isrC Hfq binding RNA". The record is from RNAcentral. Lineage: Bacteria; Pseudomonadati; Pseudomonadota; Betaproteobacteria; Neisseriales; Chitinibacteraceae.